UACGAAGGGGGCUAGCAUUGCUCGGAAUCACUGGGCGUAAAGGGUGCGUAGGCGGGUCUUUAAGUCAGGGGUGAAAUCCUGGAGCUCAACUCCAGAACUGCCUUUGAUACUGAGGAUCUUGAGUCCGGGAGAGGUGAGUGGAACUGCGAGUGUAGAGGUGAAAUUCGUAGAUAUUCGCAAGAACACCAGUGGCGAAGGCGGCUCACUGGCCCGGUACUGACGCUGAGGCACGAAAGCGUGGGGAGCAAACAGG
Molecule: ribosomal RNA, 253 nt
Filed under: uncultured bacterium
Lineage: Bacteria
Description: partial 16S ribosomal RNA
Rfam family: Bacterial small subunit ribosomal RNA
Source: RNAcentral